GGGGUCUUAAAGGAAUGGGGGGGGGCCUAAAAUAUGGGGGGGGUCCUAAAGGAUGGGGAGGGGUCCUAAAUUAUGGGGGGGGAGUCUUAAAAUAUGGGAGGGUCCUGAAUUAUGGGGGGGGGCACUGGGACCCCCCUUUGGAUCUCCAUAGAAUUGGGGACCCCCCCCAUAAUUGAAGAUAUCCCCCUUUGGAACCCUAUAGAAUUGGGGACCCCAAAGAUUUUGGGGUGAGGUGGGGGGGACGACCCUAAAAACUGUGGAAAUAACCCCAAAUGUUGGAAUAAAUGUUGAAUAUGGGAACAUGUUCCCCCAAAACCUCAAUGAAUGACCCCAAAAUCCCAUUAAUUAGCCCCAAAACCUCAAAGAAUGACCCUCAAAAACCCAAUGAAUGACCCCAAAAUCCCAUUGAUUGGCCCCAAAACCCCAAAGAUUGACCCCAAAACCCCAAUGAAUGACCCCAAAAUCCCAUCAAACAGCCCCAAAACCCGAAAGACCCCAAAGAAUAACCCCAAAACCCCAAAGAAUGACUCCAAUGACCCCAAAACCCCAUUGAAUCACCCCAAAAACCCAAUGAUUGACCUCAAAAAUGCAAUGAAUGACCCCAAAACCCCAUUGAAUGACCCCAAUGACACCAAAACCCCAUGAAACGACCCCAAAACCCCAUUGAAUGAACACAAUUAAUGACCCCAAAGAUCCCCGACCCCAUAAUGGCCUUUAAUUGCCCCAAAAUGGCCAUUUUUAACCCCAAAACGGCCUUUUAUUACCCCAAAAUUACCUUUUAUUGCCCCCAAAUGGCCUUUUAUUACCCCAAAAUGGCCUUUUUUUACCCCCAAACAGCCUUUUAUUACCCAAAAUGACCCUUUAUUACCCCAAAACAACCUUUUAUUGCCCCAAAAUGGCCUUUUUUUACCCCAAAAUGUCCUUUAAUUGCCCCAAAACAACCUGUUUUUAACCCAAAAUGGCCUUUAUUACCGCAAAAAUGGCCCUUUUUUUACCCCAAAACAGCCUUUAUUACCCCAUAACAACCUUUAAUUACCCCAAAAUGUCCUUUUAUUACCCCAAAAAGGCCCUUCAUUACCCCAAAAUGACCAUUUAUUACCCAAAACAGCCUUUUUUUACCCCAAAAUGGCUUUUAUCAUUACCCCAAAAUGGCCUUUUAUCACCCCAAAUGUCCAUUAAUUGCCCCAAAAUUGCCCUUUAUUACCCCAAAACGGCCCUUUAUUACCCCAAACUGACCAUUUAUUACCCAAAACAGCCCUUUUUUACCCCAAAAUGGCUUUUAUUAUUGCCCCAAAAUGGCCUUUUAUUACCCCAAAUCAACCCCAAAACAGCCUUUAUUUACCCCAAAACAACCUUUUAUUGCCCCAAAACUGCCUUUAUUGCCCCCAAACGACCCUUUAUUACCCCAAAAUGGCCCUUUUUUACCCCAAAAUGUCCAUUAAUUGCCCCAAAAUGGCCCUUUUUUACCCCAAACUGUCCUUUAAUUGCCCCAAAAUUGCCCUUUUUUACCCCAAAAGGGCCCUUUAUUACCCCAAACUGA
Long non-coding RNA from Coturnix japonica (Japanese quail), 1540 nucleotides. The record is from Ensembl. Lineage: Eukaryota; Metazoa; Chordata; Aves; Galliformes; Phasianidae.